UUCACCUGUCCUCAUUCAACCUUUUAUUCUGUUUCAUGUGUGUUUUUUAAAUUUUUUUAAAAACAUUUAUUUAUUUUUGAGACAGAGAGAGAGCAGGAACAGGGGAGGGUCAGAGAAAGAGGGAGACCCACAAUCUGAAACAGGCUCCAGGCUCUGAGCUGUCAGCACAGAGCCCGAUGCGGGGCUCGAACCCACAGACCGUGAGAUCAUGACCUGAGCCGAAGUCGGAUGCCUAACCAACUGAGCCACCCAGGCGCCCCCAUGUGUGUUUCUUAUAAACAAGUUAGAGUUUCCUUUGUUCCUAACAAAGUCUGAUCAUCACAGCUUUUAGGAGAAUUCAGUUGAUCACAUUUGGAAUAAUGAGAUGCUCACUUCCCAACUACUACUUCCAAACAGCAUUCUCCACACCUUCUCUUACCCCAAUAAGAUAUUUCUAAGUAUUUUUACUCCCUCCACUUUCCUCCACUCCAUGCAAUUAUUUUUACUGAAUUAAUUUAUCUUCGGUUAUAGCCUGGCAUCAGGAUUUCUCUUUCAGCCUGUCUAUCUUAAUUCAAACAUACUUAUUUAGAACUUGUUACACAUUUGCAGAGAGCCUGUCUUCCUCCAUCUUAGUUCCUCCGUGGGUUCAUUCUUUACAUCAGUCUCCUCUUGAUCUUUCUUCAUCUGGUGUUUGUCUGGGAUCCUUUCCUCAAAUCUGUUGCUUAGAGGGUGCAGGUGAGUGAUACACUCUCUGAAUUCUUGCACAUACUGUAUCUUUGUUUUGUCCUGCCAGGUAAAGGAUAUCUUAGCUGGGAAUAGGAUUCUUGGAUCUCAGCCAUGUAGAUGCCAUAGUCUGCCAGCUCCUGUUACAGGGUUUAAUUCUGUAAUGCAUCCCUGGAUGAGAAAGGCAGAGCCAGGCACGCCCAACACAGGGGUGAUGUUGACCUUCUCUGACAGGUGGAGAGGGGGGGAUCCCACAGAGCUCCUGUGACCAAACUCUUUCAAAGAGGAAGCACAGUGCAGUGGCUGAGUAUUGGGCUGCAGAGCCACACUGUCUGGGUUGGGACAUGGGCAAAUUAGUGAACUUUGCUGUGUCCUAGCAUACUGUAAGCACUCAGUAAAUGUGCUUCCACUUAUGGACAUAACUAGUGCUCCUACUUUUCCUUCCUUACAGGCUCACAUCUAGCACAUGCUUUGACACUGUUUUCCAGCCUGCCCAGCUCAAGGUGAAGAAAGUCCUGGAUCAGGAGAGGUGGGGCCUGGAAGCCACAUUCUGGUUGUCCUGACAUCAGAAUCUUAUCCAUCAUCAGUAUUAUCUUUUAAAGUUUCUAAAGAAGAGGUAAGAAAGAAUUCCAAUCUGAUGAAAGGUAUCAAUCCACACAGUCAAGAACCACUAGGACUUACAAAUCAGAAUAAAUACAAAGAAUACCGUACCUGGGCACAUCACAGUAAAACUGCUAAAGACCAAAGAGAAAAUCUGAAAAGCAGUCAAAACAAAUGAUACAUGACCUUCAGAAGGGUGACAAUAAGACUGACAGGUGACCUAUUAACAAAAACAGUGGAAGACAAGGUAACAGCAUCUUAAAAUGCUGAGGAUAAUUUACCAAGGUAGAAUUCUAUAUCCAGUGAAAAUAGUUUUUAAAAAUAAAAGGCAAAGUUAUUUUUAAACAAACAGAAACUCAGGAUGUGUUGCCAGCAGAUCUGCACUAAAAGAACUAUUAAAGAAACGUCUUCAUUUACAUUGAAAACGAUCCCAGACAGAACUGUGUGCUUCAGGAAUGAAUAAGGAGUAGUGAGAAAGUAAAUAUGGAGGUGAAUAUAAAUGACUAUCAACUAUACAAAAUAAUACUAACUCAUGUCUUGUGGGGUUAAAUUAUAUACAGAGUUAAAAUUCAUUCCCACAAUAAUGCAAAAGGCAGGAGAGGAGUUUAAGGGGUUAGUGUUGUAUGGUUCUAUCAUUAUUAGGGAAGUGAAGUAAUUUGUACAGGACUAUAUUGAGGCAAGGAUGCAUGUUAUAAUCUCUAUGGUGGUAAUAAUAGUAACAGAACGAAAAUGUUUGACUAAUCCAAAAGAAAGUAAAAAGGAGAAAAAAGCAGAACAGUUAUGUCAAAUGAGAAAACCAGAAAAUGGAAGAUUUAACUAUAUAAUUGCAUUAAAUAUAAAUGGAUCAAAUGAUCCAAGUCAAAGAUGAAGAUUAUUAUACUACAUAAAGGCCGAAACCCAAAUACAUGGAGUUUGGAAAAUUAUACCAUGUUAACACUAAUCAAAGGAAAUCUCAUCUGUCUAUACUAGAAUUAGGCAAAAAUAGACUUUCAGGCAAGAAGUAUUGCCAGAGAUAGAGAUAUUUUCUAAGAACAAAGAAGUCUUUGUCCCAGGAAGUUAUUACAAUUUUAAAGCAAAAGUGGUAGAAUUUUACAUAAAUCUACAAUCACAGUGCUGGACUUCAACAACACCUUUCAGCACCUGACAGACUCCGUGAACAAUGAAAAAAUCACUUAGAAGAUCUGAACAAUGCAAUGAAGAUACUUGACAUAAUUGACAUAUAUAUAGAAAACUAUACCACCCAUUAGAAUACACAUUCUUGUAAAGUACAUAUGCAGCAUUUACCCCAUUGAUCAUCAGCUGGGUCAUAAAGCAAGCUUCAAUGAAUUUUCAAGGAUUGAAAUGAUUGAGAGUAUGCUCUCUGGCCAGAAAAAUCAGUAACAGAAAGUCUUCUCCUGUACUGCCUAGGAGAAACCACAACCCUGCUUAUAUCCAAAUUUCUCCCUACAAAGACCCUGCACCUGGGCAUUGCUGGAAAGUAAAACACAAUCCUGCUCACAUUUCGUCCAGCAGUCCUCUAACAGUUCCCCGGUCAGGUCAAUCUCACGUGCAACCUUCACCUUUCUCUCCAAACCUCCAGGCUUAGUGAUGAUUUUCAACCAGAAGAGAUGUUCAUCCAACUACAACCAAAUGUAACUGUCACCUAUUUGUAAGCAUACCUGAAUAGUCUCUAUUUUUCUCCUGUUACAUCAAAGAAUGUGCUUUUAUCUAAAGCUAGCAUCUCUACUUCUCUGCCCUGGAUUCCAAUGACUCCUGCGUACUUUAAUGAUGCAGAACAAAGCCAAGAUGUGUGGGAGGUUUUUUUUUUUAUAUAUUUUUUUUAGCAUUACAUACAUACAUAUAUACAUAGAUACAUACAUAUGCUGUAAUGUCAACUAGUCUAAAAAAGUUUCUUUGGCAUGUUCUUCUAGCUACUGCCUCAUUUGACUCCUUUUACUCAUAUUUACAUCAAAACUCCCCCAAAUGGUUGGCUGUAUUCACUAUCUCUAAUACCUCAAGCUUGUAUUCCAUUUCAUUUUAUCUGCUCUUGCCAAGGUGAUCCACAUGAUAUCAAAUUGAAUGGUCAGUGACAUGCAAAUGGUCUCUGCUAUAUCUGACACCACUGACCACAAACUCUUCCUUAAGGCAUUCUUCUUUUGGGGUGCCUGGGUGGCUCAGUUGGUUAAGCAUCUGACUUUGGCUCAGGUCAUGAUCUCAGAGUUUGUGAGUUUGAGCCCCAAGUCAGGCUUCCUACAGAGCCUGCUUUGGAUCCUCUGGCUCCCUGUCUCUCUGCCCCUCUCCUGCUCACACAGCUUUCUAACCCUCUCUCUGUCUGAAAAAUAAAUAAACAUUUAAAAAAACUCUUCUUUUGGUUUCUGGCAUCCUCCCCUUGUCCCCCGCAGCCCCCAAUUUUCUUUGUACCUUUCAGGCUACUCCUGCUUGGUCUCCUUGUUGGCUUCUUCUCUCCUUCCUGAUCCUUAAGUGUUGGAGUGCUUUAGGGCUCCAACCUUGACCUCUUCUCUAUGGAUUUAGCAGUUUGUAUGGUGAUGAUACCCACACUGACAUCUCUGGCCUAGACCUCACCUUGGACUCCAGACCCGUUUAUCCAAUCGCUUGACAUCUCUGCUUACAUUUAUAACAGCACUUUAAACUUAACAGACCUAAAUCCAAAUGCCUAAUUUUCCUGUCUACCUCUUCCAGGGCAUGCACCUUCUACUGGCCCUAAAUCUCUAUAUGGUACAUUCAUUUCCUAUUGCUGUGGUAACACCUUACUACAAACUCAGUAGCUUAAAACAACACAUAUUUGUUUUCUUAUAGUUUUGGAGGCAGAAAGUCUGAAAUUAAUUUCACGGGGCUGAACAAGUAUGUCGGCAAGGCAGUGCUCCUUCUAGAGGCUCUGGGAGAGAAAGUGUUUUCUGGAAUUUUCCAGCCUUGAGAGCUGCAUUUCUUAGCUCGUGGCCCCUUCCCUCUUCUUCAGAGCCAGCAGUGUGCUUUAGUCCUCACAUUGCCUUUCUCUGAUAAGGAUACUUCCACUUGGAUUCAGGGCUCCACAGUAGAAAUCCAUAAUGUAAUUUUAUCUGCUGACUACCAUUUGCCCUAUAAGGCGAUGUUCCUAGGUUCUGGGGUUUAGGAAGUGGCCAUCUUGGGGCCAUUAGUCAUUCCACCACACACCAUC
Neofelis nebulosa (Clouded leopard) is the source of this 4456-nucleotide long non-coding RNA. RefSeq lists it as uncharacterized. The record is from RefSeq and is a predicted model, not a curated record. NCBI's taxonomy places the organism in Eukaryota, Metazoa, Chordata, Mammalia, Carnivora, Felidae. The transcript has 3 exons.